RNAcentral lists this long non-coding RNA (247 nucleotides) under Setaria italica (foxtail millet). Its description in RNAcentral is "long non-coding RNA (SITA_LNC000384)". The record is from RNAcentral. Lineage: Eukaryota; Viridiplantae; Streptophyta; Magnoliopsida; Poales; Poaceae.
UCUGAACUGCCAUCACCUCUGCAAGGUUAGGUGGCGGCGGUGCCUGUUGGUCCUCUGCACCUCCAGCAUUCAUGUUCUGCUCCUGCUCCUCCUGACCCUCCUGGUGAACCUCUCCUUCAGUGUCAGCUACGUCUCCCUGUACCUCCAUCUCUGGGACACAGCCACCAUGUCCUCCGCGGUGACCUCCACGAAGUUCACCUCGGGGAGCAUGACCUCCACUGUGACCACAACCUCUACCGGGGUUAGG